CAGUCGCCGCGGGAAUACGUAGGGUCCGAGCGUUGUCCGGAAUUAUUGGGCGUAAAGAGCUCGUAGGCGGUCUGUCGCGUCUGCCGUGAAAUCCUCAGGCUCAACCUGAGGCGUGCGGUGGGUACGGGCAGGCUAGAGUGCGGUAGGGGAGAAUGGAACUCCUGGUGUAGCGGUGGAAUGCGCAGAUAUCAGGAAGAACACCGAUGGCGAAGGCAGUUCUCUGGGCCGUAACUGACGCUGAGGAGCGAAAGCGUGGGGAGCGAACAGGAUAGAUACCCCAGUAGUCCCUGUCUCUUAUACA
RNAcentral lists this ribosomal RNA (301 nucleotides) under uncultured bacterium. RNAcentral's name for it is "partial 16S ribosomal RNA". It matches the Rfam family "Bacterial small subunit ribosomal RNA", at positions 509 to 808 of the family's 1533-position model. The record is from RNAcentral.